This 243-nucleotide unclassified non-coding RNA is filed under the name uncultured fungus. RNAcentral describes it as "partial contains 5.8S ribosomal RNA, internal transcribed spacer 2, and large subunit ribosomal RNA". Lineage: Eukaryota; Fungi. The record is from RNAcentral.
AACGCACAUUGCGCCCGCCAGCAUUCUGGCGGGCAUGCCUGUUCGAGCGUCAUUUCAACCCUCAGGCCCUGCCUGGUGUUGGAGGACUGCGCACCGCAGCCUCCCAAAGCAAGCGGCGGCGGCGCCCCAAAACCGAACGCAGUAGUUACAUCUCGUUCUGGGUCUGGGUCGUUGUCCUGCCGGAAAACCCCCAUCUUUUUAAUGGUUGACCUCGAAUCAGGUAGGAAUACCCGCUGAACUUAA